Molecule: long non-coding RNA, 611 nt
Organism: Prunus dulcis (almond)
Lineage: Eukaryota; Viridiplantae; Streptophyta; Magnoliopsida; Rosales; Rosaceae
Exons: 2
Source: RefSeq, a predicted model, not a curated record
UGUCACUGGAGAACUCCCGUGCUUCCUUAAGAUUUACAACCUGUUACAGGACAUUUGCCCUGUAACUUAUCGACUCUUGAGGUGCUUUCUGCAUCUUCUAAUUAUUUGAAUGGGAGCAUUCCAGAUAUUUUCAGCCAGCUGACAGAAUUAACAGAGAUUCGAUUCGCGGGCAAUUCUCUGUCUGGUAUGAUUCCACCCUCCAUCUUCAAUCUGUCUUCUCUCAUAAGAUUUUUCUCUGCAACCAAAUGAAAUCCAAGUAUCAAUAUCUAAUGCCUCAAGUCGAGGUCAUCUAGGAAUGCAAGGAAACAGCCUACAUGGUAAAGUCCCAUCUUUGGCAAAUUUGCACAAGCUUGAGAGAUUUUCUCUUACCUCCAACAAUCCAGGAAGUAGGAGACUUAAUGACUUGAGCUUUAUCUGACACCUAGGCAUUAAUAUGAACAAUUUUGGGGGUUUCUUACCUGAAUGCACAGCACUCUUGCACGGUUCUACGUAAGUGACAAUAAAUUAGUAGGAAGACUCCCAAAUGGGAUUGGAAAUUUAGUUAACUUGGAGAGCCUAUUUCUGUCUAUGAACCAAUUUCAGGGUUAACAUAUUUUCUUGUUGUUGAUCAA